UGUUGUGAACUCGAAGAGUAGGGCGGGACACGUGGUAUCCUGUCUGAAUAUGGGGGGACCAUCCUCCAAGGCUAAAUACUCCUGACUGACCGAUAGUGAACCAGUACCGUGAGGGAAAGGCGAAAAGAACCCCGGCGAGGGGAGUGAAAAAGAACCUGAAACCGUGUACGUACAAGCAGUGGGAGCCUCUUUAUGGGGUGACUGCGUACCUUUUGUAUAAUGGGUCAGCGACUUAUAUUCUGUAGCAAGGUUAACCGAAUAGGGGAGCCGAAGGGAAACCGAGUCUUAACUGGGCGUUAAGUUGCAGGGUAUAGACCCGAAACCCGGUGAUCUAGCCAUGGGCAGGUUGAAGGUUGGGUAACACUAACUGGAGGACCGAACCGACUAAUGUUGAAAAAUUAGCGGAUGACUUGUGGCUGGGGGUGAAAGGCCAAUCAAACCGGGAGAUAGCUGGUUCUCCCCGAAAGCUAUUUAGGUAGCGCCUCGUGAAUUCAUCUUCGGGGGUAGAGCACUGUUUCGGCUAGGGGGUCAUCCCGACUUACCAACCCGAUGCAAACUGCGAAUACCGAAGAAUGUUAUCACGGGAGACACACGGCGGGUGCUAACGUCCGUCGUGAAGAGGGAAACAACCCAGACCGCCAGCUAAGGUCCCAAAGUCAUGGUUAAGUGGGAAACGAUGUGGGAAGGCACAGACAGCCAGGAUGUUGGCUUAGAAGCAGCCAUCAUUUAAAGAAAGCGUAAUAGCUCACUGGUCGAGUCGGCCUGCGCGGAAGAUGUAACGGGGCUAAACCAUGCACCGAAGCUGCGGCAGCGACACUAUGUGUUGUUGGGUAGGGGAGCGUUCUGUAAGCCGUUGAAGGUGGCCUGUGAGGGUAGGGGAGCGUUCUGUAAGCCGUUGAAGGUGUGCUGUGAGGCAUGCUGGAGGUAUCAGAAGUGCGAAUGCUGACAUAAGUAACGAUAAUGCGGGUGAAAAACCCGCACGCCGGAAGACCAAGGGUUCCUGUCCAACGUUAAUCGGGGCAGGGUGAGUCGACCCCUAAGGCGAGGCCGAAAGGCGUAGUCGAUGGGAAACAGGUUAAUAUUCCUGUACUUGGUGUUACUGCGAAGGGGGGACGGAGAAGGCUAUGUUAGCCGGGCGACGGUUGUCCCGGUUUAAGCAUGUAGGCGGAGAUUCCAGGUAAAUCCGGAGUCUUGCUAACGCUGAGGUGUGAUGACGAGGCACUACGGUGCUGAAGUAACAAAUGCCCUGCUUCCAGGAAAAGCCUCUAAGCAUCAGGUAACACGAAAUCGUACCCCAAACCGACACAGGUGGUCAGGUAGAGAAUACCAAGGCGCUUGAGAGAACUCGGGUGAAGGAACUAGGCAAAAUGGUGCCGUAACUUCGGGAGAAGGCACGCUGAUAUGUAGGUGAAGUGAUUUACUCAUGGAGCUGAAAUCAGUCGAAGAUACCAGCUGGCUGCAACUGUUUAUUAAAAACACAGCACUGUGCAAACACGAAAGUGGACGUAUACGGUGUGACGCCUGCCCGGUGCCGGAAGGUUAAUUGAUGGGGUUAUCCGUAAGGAGAAGCUCUUGAUCGAAGCCCCGGUAAACGGCGGCCGUAACUAUAACGGUCCUAAGGUAGCGAAAUUCCUUGUCGGGUAAGUUCCGACCUGCACGAAUGGCGUAAUGAUGGCCAGGCUGUCUCCACCCGAGACUCAGUGAAAUUGAACUCGCUGUGAAGAUGCAGUGUACCCGCGGCAAGACGGAAAGACCCCGUGAACCUUUACUAUAGCUUGACACUGAACACUGGUCCUUGAUGUGUAGGAUAGGUGGGAGGCUUUGAAGUGUGGACGCCAGUCUGCAUGGAGCCAACCUUGAAAUACCACCCUUUAAUGGCUGGUGUUCUAACGUAGACCCGUAAUCCGGGUUGCGGACAGUGUCUGGUGGGUAGUUUGACUGGGGCGGUCUCCUCCUAAAGAGUAACGGAGGAGCACGAAGGUUAGCUAAUCCUGGUCGGACAUCAGGAGGUUAGUGCAAAGGCAUAAGCUAGCUUGACUGCGAGAGUGACGGCUCGAGCAGGUGCGAAAGCAGGUCUUAGUGAUCCGGUGGUUCUGAAUGGAAGGGCCAUCGCUCAACGGAUAAAAGGUACUCCGGGGAUAACAGGCUGAUACCGCCCAAGAGUUCAUAUCGACGGCGGUGUUUGGCACCUCGAUGUCGGCUCAUCACAUCCUGGGGCUGAAGUAGGUCCCAAGGGUAUGGCUGUUCGCCAUUUAAAGUGGUACGCGAGCUGGGUUUAGAACGUCGUGAGACAGUUCGGUCCCUAUCUGCCGUGGGCGCUGGAGAAUUGAGGGGGGCUGCUCCUAGUACGAGAGGACCGGAGUGGACGCAUCACUGGUGUUCGGGUUGUCAUGCCAAUGGCAUUGCCCGGUAGCUAAAUGCGGAAGAGAUAAGUGCUGAAAGCAUCUAAGCACGAAACUUGCCCCGAGAUGAGUUCUCCCUGACCCUUUAAGGGUCCUGAAGGAACGUUGAAGACGACGACGUUGAUAGGUCGGGUGUGUAAGCGUAGCGAUACGUUGAGCUAACCGAUACUAAUGAACCGUGAGGCUUAACCUUACAAC
RNAcentral lists this ribosomal RNA (2600 nucleotides) under Citrobacter sp. wls618. RNAcentral's name for it is "partial 23S ribosomal RNA". It matches the Rfam family "Bacterial large subunit ribosomal RNA", at positions 395 to 2925 of the family's 2925-position model. The record is from RNAcentral. Lineage: Bacteria; Pseudomonadati; Pseudomonadota; Gammaproteobacteria; Enterobacterales; Enterobacteriaceae.